AUACGUAGGUCUCGAGCGUUGUCCGGAUUUAUUGGGCGUAAAGCGAGCGCUAGGCGGUUAUUUAAGUCUGAAGUUAAAGGCCGUGGCUCAACCAUGGUUCGCUUUGGAAACUGGAUAACUUGAGUGCAGAAGGGGAGAGUGGAAUUCCAUGUGUAGCGGUGAAAUGCGUAGAUAUAUGGAGGAACACCGGUGGCGAAAGCGGCUCUCUGGUCUGUAACUGACGCUGAGGCUCGAAAGCGUGGGGAGC
This 247-nucleotide ribosomal RNA is filed under the name uncultured bacterium. Its description in RNAcentral is "partial 16S ribosomal RNA". It matches the Rfam family "Bacterial small subunit ribosomal RNA", at positions 523 to 769 of the family's 1533-position model. The record is from RNAcentral.